This 1369-nucleotide ribosomal RNA is filed under the name uncultured bacterium. RNAcentral describes it as "bacterial SSU rRNA". It matches the Rfam family "Bacterial small subunit ribosomal RNA", at positions 28 to 1381 of the family's 1533-position model. The record is from RNAcentral.
GACGAACGCUGGCGGCGUGCCUAAUACAUGCAAGUAGAACGCUGAAGAGAGGAGCUUGCUCUUCUUGGAUGAGUUGCGAACGGGUGAGUAACGCGUAGGUAACCUGCCUUGUAGCGGGGGAUAACUAUUGGAAACGAUAGCUAAUACCGCAUAACAAUGGAUGACACAUGUCAUUUAUUUGAAAGGGGCAAUUGCUCCACUACAAGAUGGACCUGCGUUGUAUUAGCUAGUAGGUGAGGUAACGGCUCACCUAGGCGACGAUACAUAGCCGACCUGAGAGGGUGAUCGGCCACACUGGGACUGAGACACGGCCCAGACUCCUACGGGAGGCAGCAGUAGGGAAUCUUCGGCAAUGGGGGCAACCCUGACCGAGCAACGCCGCGUGAGUGAAGAAGGUUUUCGGAUCGUAAAGCUCUGUUGUAAGUCAAGAACGAGUGUGAGAGUGGAAAAUUCACACUGUGACGGUAGCUUACCAGAAAGGGACGGCUAACUACGUGCCAGCAGCCGCGGUAAUACGUAGGUCCCGAGCGUUGUCCGGAUUUAUUGGGCGUAAAGCGAGCGCAGGCGGUUUGAUAAGUCUGAAGUUAAAGGCUGUGGCUCAACCAUAGUUCGCUUUGGAAACUGUCAAACUUGAGUGCAGAAGGGGAGAGUGGAAUUCCAUGUGUAGCGGUGAAAUGCGUAGAUAUAUGGAGGAACACCGGUGGCGAAAGCGGCUCUCUGGUCUGUAACUGACGCUGAGGCUCGAAAGCGUGGGGAGCGAACAGGAUUAGAUACCCUGGUAGUCCACGCCGUAAACGAUGAGUGCUAGGUGUUGGAUCCUUUCCGGGAUUCAGUGCCGCAGCUAACGCAUUAAGCACUCCGCCUGGGGAGUACGACCGCAAGGUUGAAACUCAAAGGAAUUGACGGGGGCCCGCACAAGCGGUGAAGCAUGUGGUUUAAUUCGAAGCAACGCGAAGAACCUUACCAGGUCUUGACAUCCCGAUGCUAUUUCUAGAGAUAGAAAGUUACUUCGGUACAUCGGUGACAGGUGGUGCAUGGUUGUCGUCAGCUCGUGUCGUGAGAUGUUGGGUUAAGUCCCGCAACGAGCGCAACCCCUAUUGUUAGUUGCCAUCAUUCAGUUGGGCACUCUAGCGAGACUGCCGGUAAUAAACCGGAGGAAGGUGGGGAUGACGUCAAAUCAUCAUGCCCCUUAUGACCUGGGCUACACACGUGCUACAAUGGUUGGUACAACGAGUUGCGAGUCGGUGACGGCAAGCUAAUCUCUUAAAGCCAAUCUCAGUUCGGAUUGUAGGCUGCAACUCGCCUACAUGAAGUCGGAAUCGCUAGUAAUCGCGGAUCAGCACGCCGCGGUGAAUACGUUCCCGGGCCU